AGGGCUGUAGUUUAUAUUAACAUCUAAUUUGCAAUUAGAAAAUAUUAAGUUCGCUAUUAAUCUGCCUUA
This 69-nucleotide transfer RNA is filed under the name Bannacoris arboreus. RNAcentral's name for it is "tRNA-Ala". The record is from RNAcentral. Lineage: Eukaryota; Metazoa; Arthropoda; Insecta; Hemiptera; Urostylididae.